Non-coding RNA from Chiloscyllium plagiosum (whitespotted bambooshark), 641 nucleotides. Lineage: Eukaryota; Metazoa; Chordata; Chondrichthyes; Orectolobiformes; Hemiscylliidae. The record is from RefSeq and is a predicted model, not a curated record.
CUGUCUGGAAAACAUCAAUCCAAGGUUGUAUGGUGAAGUGCAGCUGUGGUUUUUCCAAAAUUGGUGGCUUCUCCAAUUAACUUCAUGUAUGUAGUCAUCCAUGUGGCUUAGAACAAUCCAAUUGUGGCACAACAUCCCUACCUAUGGGCCUGGAGGCCUACAUUCAAAUUUAAAUUUGCGAGCAGCAUGUUGUUUGUUCUUCAUUGGGGCUUUGGUGUCAAACCUCAGAGGGUUAGAGGUACAUGAGGUCAUUCCAUUUCCCUCUACCCACCCAAAUGUCAGCGGCCUUUCAUUAAUAAUGGUGGAACCACUGUGGCAGCAUUAUGCAGGAACACUAGGAUAGGCUAAGACAUAUGGAAGACAAGCACUAAAGGAAUCCACAAAGGUCAAGAGAAAUAGAAAUGACAACACCGAUGACUGGCUGCAAGUUAUCUGACAAGCCCCUUCAGGGCUACACCAAGCUUCAUCACCCACUUCUACAGGCAUUGUGGCCUUCACCAGUAAAAUCAUUCAUAACAUUUCUACAAAUUCUGCAACAACCAGUAGAGAGGAAUCAACAUCCAACCAACUGCCUCUUGCUUUAAUGUAUAGCAUUCAGAACAAAAUAAAUGAAUUAAUGGCACAAAAUACAAGUUAAUAAG